GGAAGAAAUUCCCUCUACCAGCAGUCGUCUUCGGCCCUCCUCCACAAAUCGGCCCAGCAGCUCCACCGAACGGCGACGCAGCGCAAGAAUCCAGAACAGAGGCGGCAGCAGGCCAAGCUAUGGACCACAAACCUCCUGGCAUGUACCAAAAUAUCUGCUGAGGGCAUCAAAGCCUCCAGUCCCAACUGAUAAAGCUCAUAAUCAGAGUGAAAGCAGCCAUACUUCAGUCAGUAAGUAAACAACUCUCAGUGCUGUGGUGCUGUGAUGCUGAGAUGCUGAGAUGCUGAGAUGCGAAGACUCACAUUUUCACAUUUGCUUGUAUAACGCAUGUGAAUGUAUGUUUCAGAGAUAAAGAGAAGAAAGAAGGGGAGGAGGAAACGUGCAGCCUAAACUCUGCAUUGCUGACAAGUGAAAGAAGAAAAGUCGCUCCGUCUCACCUGAUCAGAAUCAGCUUUUAGUACAGUAAUGAGGUCGUGUAAAAUUCAUACUAUGAAUACUGUAUUUGUGACCCCUCGUAAUUUUCCAAGUACAAGAAAUAACCACAUGAAUGCUUCAAGACCAUAUCCGCUUUAUACCCUCUCUAAGUGUCACAAUUUAAUGUUCAAAUCUGUAUAAUUUAUCUCUAGCUCUACGACAAACUCUGAGUAGCUGGAUCAUGGGAUAUGUCAUAGUUUAAAUAGCAAAACUGCACCAGUCUAUGAUCUAGAGCAGGGGUGGGCAAUUCAUUUUCCCAAAUUGCCACGUAGAAAACUCGGAUUUUUGUGGAGGGUUGCACCAAUGAGCUGAAAUCAAUUCUGCUCAAUAUUAAUUUCAUCUUUUUAUAAACUGCUACAAGUAAAGAGUAGAUGUUACAGUUAGGUCCUAAUUGUGCUCCCUUGAAGAAAUGAAUUGAUACCUCACAUGUGAAGAAACAAAAACAAGCACUAGAAUCCUGUUUGAAGCUAUUAUCUUCUUCAGUCAUGGGUUACCACAAAUGCAGCUUGACGCUGUGAAAUAAAGAAAGAGCCUCAGUCGUAACAUUACAUCGAUCAGACAGCUUUAGGUCCUGAAGACGUUUCUCAAAAUCUAGAAGAGUCUGGAUCCAGAGUGUGGAUAUCGCCAUUAAAGACCCAGGUGCUACAAGUGACCACAAGGUGGCAGCAUUGUAUUUGCUGAGAUACAGUUCAAGCGCAAGAGGCUACAGUUUUGGUACAGCCCAGGCGGUUCAACUUUCAGGGAAGCUGUUUUCUAUACAGUUUUUUAAAACCACCAAACUUUCAAUAAAUGUUUUUCAUUA
This is a long non-coding RNA of Astatotilapia calliptera (eastern happy), 1276 nucleotides long. The record is from Ensembl. NCBI's taxonomy places the organism in Eukaryota, Metazoa, Chordata, Actinopteri, Cichliformes, Cichlidae.